Molecule: ribosomal RNA, 253 nt
Filed under: uncultured bacterium
Lineage: Bacteria
Description: partial 16S ribosomal RNA
Rfam family: Bacterial small subunit ribosomal RNA
Source: RNAcentral
UACGUAGGGGGCAAGCGUUAUCCGGAUUUACUGGGUGUAAAGGGAGCGUAGACGGUUAUGUAAGUCUGAAGUGAAAGCCCGGGGCCCAACCCCGGGACUGCUUUGGAAACUGUGUAGCUGGAGUACAGGAGGGGCAGGCGGAAUUCCUGGUGUAGCGGUGAAAUGCGUAGAUAUCAGGAGGAACACCGGCGGCGAAGGCGGCCUGCUGGACUGAAACUGACGUUGAGGCUCGAAAGUGCGGGUAUCGAACAGG